UACGUAGGUGGCAAGCGUUGUCCGGAUUUAUUGGGUUUAAAGGGUGCGUAGGCGGCCCUGUAAGUCAGUGCUGAAAUAUCCCAGCUUAACUGGGAGGGUGGCAUUGAUACUGCGGGGCUAGAGUACAGAUGAGGUAGGCGGAAUUGACGGUGUAGCGGUGAAAUGCUUAGAUAUCGUCAAGAACACCUAUAGCGAAGGCAGCUUACUAGGCUGUAACUGACGCUGAGGCACGAAAGUGUGGGGAUCAAACGGG
Molecule: ribosomal RNA, 253 nt
Filed under: uncultured bacterium
Lineage: Bacteria
Description: partial 16S ribosomal RNA
Rfam family: Bacterial small subunit ribosomal RNA
Source: RNAcentral